GACGUAGGGCGCGAGCGUUGUCCGGAUUUACUGGGCGUAAAGGGCGCGUAGGCGGCCAGCACAAGUCAGUUGUGAAAUCUCCGAGCUUAACUCGGAAAGGUCAACUGAUACUGUGCGGCUAGAGUGCGGAAGGGGCAACUGGAAUUCUUGGUGUAGCGGUGAAAUGCGUAGAUAUCAAGAGGAACACCUGCGGCGAAGGCGGGUUGCUGGGCCGACACUGACGCUGAGGCGCGAAGGCCAGGGGAGCGAACGGG
RNAcentral lists this ribosomal RNA (254 nucleotides) under uncultured bacterium. RNAcentral describes it as "partial 16S ribosomal RNA". It matches the Rfam family "Bacterial small subunit ribosomal RNA", at positions 524 to 776 of the family's 1533-position model. The record is from RNAcentral.